AGGACGAACGCUGGCGGCGUGCCUAACACAUGCAAGUCGAGCGAGGAGAUCCUCGGGAUGAUCCUAGCGGCGGACGGGUGAGUAACACGUGGGCAACCUGCCUCAUAGAGAGGAAUAGCCUUCCGAAAGGGAGAUUAAUACCUCAUAACAUUGCAGUUUCGCAUGAAACAGCAAUUAAAGGAGCAAUCCGCUAUGAGAUGGGCCCGCGGCGCAUUAGCUAGUUGGUGAGGUAACGGCUCACCAAGGCGACGAUGCGUAGCCGACCUGAGAGGGUGAUCGGCCACAUUGGGACUGAGACACGGCCCAGACUCCUACGGGAGGCAGCAGUGGGGAAUAUUGCACAAUGGGGGAAACCCUGAUGCAAGCAACGCCGCGUGAGUGAUGACGGCCUUCGGGUUGUAAAGCUCUGUCUUCAGGGACGAUAAUGACGGUACCUGAGGAGGAAGCCACGGCUAACUACGUGCCAGCCGCUGC
Molecule: ribosomal RNA, 474 nt
Filed under: uncultured bacterium
Lineage: Bacteria
Description: bacterial SSU rRNA
Rfam family: Bacterial small subunit ribosomal RNA
Source: RNAcentral